UUGUAUCUCAAUCUCUUAAUGUUACAUUGAUGUCCAGUGAAAACAGAAGAGGGAGAGAGAGAGAUAGGCGUAUGAACACUGAACAAGAUUUUAUUGUCCAUUUUAGAGUCAAACAGAUGUCAUGUCAUGUGAGGAGGGAGUCGCAGACGAUGCCUCUCUCAGUCCCUUAAAUUCAGAGCUUCACCACUUCCCUUUCAUCCCCUAAUCUCCGACUCUGAUCCCCAAUUCUCUCUCUCCCUCUCUCUGAGCAGUCUCGCUACUCGCCCAAGAAAUCUCAAUCUCAAUGGGUUUCGAGGGAGAUGAAGAGUCGCUCAGCACCCAGCAACUACCCGCCAAAUCCAAGUUUAGGUACAACUCUCCCUUCGUCCAAGUCUCCCUCAUCGGCCUCGUCUGUUUCUGCUGCCCCGGCAUGUUCAACGCCCUCUCCGGCAUGGGUGGUGGUGGCCAAGUCGACCCCACCGCAGCCAACAACGCCAAUACCGCUCUAUACACCACCUUCGCCGUCUUCGGCGUAAUCGGCGGCGGCAUCUACAACAUCCUCGGUCCCCGCCUCACCCUCGUCACCGGCUGCUCCACCUACGUCCUCUACGCCGGCUCUUUCCUCUACUACAACCAUAAAGAGCACCAAGAAUUCGCCAUUGUCGCCGGUGCGUUAUUGGGCGUCGGCGCAGGCCUCCUCUGGGCCGCCCAGGGCGCUAUCAUGACCUCUUACCCCCCAAUUCAUCGUAAAGGGACCUAUAUCUCCCUCUUCUGGAGUAUCUUCAACAUGGGUGGUGUAAUCGGCGGCCUUAUUCCUUUCAUUCUCAACUAUCGCCGUGCCGAGGCAGCUUCGGUUAACGAUGGCACAUAUAUCGGUUUCAUGGCCUUUAUGUCAGCUGGGACGCUUCUUUCUUUGUCUAUUUUGCCACCGAGCAAGGUGGUUCGUGACGAUGGGACCCGUUGUACUAAUAUCAAGUACUCCAACGUUAAGACCGAGGCGCUUGAGAUUCUUUUUUUGUUCUUCAACUGGAAGAUGCUGCUCAUAGUGCCUGCCGCUUUGGCCAGCAAUUUUUUCUACACGUAUCAGUUCAAUAACGUGAAUGGGGUGAUGUUUAAUUUGAGGACUAGGGGGUUUAACAAUGUGUUCUACUGGGGGGCACAGAUGUUGGGCUCGGUUGGAAUUGGAUACAUAAUGGAUUUCAGCUUUCAGAGCAGGAGGAUGAGGGGAUUUGUUGGGAUUGGAGUGGUUGCGCUUCUCGGGACUGCUAUUUGGGCUGGUGGGCUUGCCAGCCAGCUCGGCUACUCGCGCGGUGACAAGCCUGAGAAGUUGGAUUUCAAGGACUCGGGUGCCGAUUUCGCGGGGCCAUUCGUCUUAUACUUCAGUUAUGGGUUGCUGGAUGCCAUGUUCCAGAGCAUGGUUUACUGGGUGAUUGGAGCUUUGGCUAACGAUUCUGAAAUCCUCAGCAGGUAUGCUGGGUUUUAUAAGGGAGUGCAGAGUGCUGGGGCAGCAGCUGCUUGGCAAGCUGAUGCACACGGUCUAUCCUUCAUUGGCCAGUUGAUUUUGAAUUGGGGCCUUACUACAGUCGGUAUUCCAUUAUUGGGGGUUCUUGUCAUGUUGGCAGUGAAGGAUGACAACAAGGCUGAAGAGGAAACUACCAAGGAGGCUGCUCUUACUCCAGCUACCCCUGCCUAUAAAUGACAUAACAAUGUGGAGGGGCUGAAUUCUUUUAUCCAUCAUGCUUCGUGUGUUCUCCGCGGUGAUCUAAAUCUUGGGAGCUUGAAAGUUUCAUCGAACGCUGCAUGCAAUUUAUUUACUGUCAUUAAUCAUCUUACAGGGGAACUAAAGAGCAUCGUAUAGAAUUUAGGAAUGUAUGCGGCAGAGAAAGGAAUUAAAUGCUCUCUUGAAUUAUGUUCUGAAGUUAAGAAAUGAUUUGUAGAAGCCCCAAUAGACAAACUCUGCACAAUCUCUUUGUAAAAAAGUGUAAAAAGGUCAUAUUCUUUUUUACAAAAGGCCUGUGAGGAGCUUGUAUAUUUGGUACUUGUACCUAGCAUUACUCAGUAAAGUUAUCUAUGGGGCAGUACAGAUAAGAGGUGACCAAAGUGGCAAUUGAACUAAGCAAAUCUGCCGCACGUCAGAACCAUGAAAACUCUUGGAUUUGAUGAUUUAGCUUUUGACAUAGUAAAAUUAUAGUGGACCAAAGUAUAGCAUUGACAAAAGUACCACUGUCAACCAUGAUUGGAGGUAGUGGCAGGGACUAAACUGAUUGACUUAAAGGGCAGGGGUUCUUAUGGAGCUCUAGUGUGAUAAUUUCUUGAAGGUAGUUAUGACAUCUGCACUAAAUUGUGAUGAUGUGGGGCUACCGCAACAAUCUGUAUUUGAGCACAGCGCAGGAAGGUCUCUUUACUGCUCAUGUUUAUGAAUGCUGAAAUUGGUGUGUUUUAGUCUUUGAUUGAAGUGGCAGACAAAUCCAUACGAUGUGAAAAGAUGAAUGUUGAUGAAGGUUCAUAGUUUAUUUUCUUUAUGAUUAGAGUCAUAAUGGACUCUGAGUGCCUUGUGUUGCUCACAAGAUUUUCUACAUCUUCAGGUGUAAAAAGUUUUGGUGACCAAAAUUGGUCUCACCAGAAUCCACUUUCAAUUUACACUAACAAAAACUGUACAAGAUUUGGUAAUUGUGUUGUGAAAGAAUAAUGUGAUAUUCUACUCUAGAUAUUCAUGAAAACUCUACCUAUAAAAUGAAAGAUGAAUUUCAGAGGUCUAAAUACAGAUUUCUUUCCGUCUCAUUCUAUCUUUCUUUCUUGCUUUAUUUUGGCUCAUUAAUUUCUACCUUUUAUUUUCGUUCUCAUCAAAAGAUAAUAUUUUAAGAAUGUCUACUGUUCCAAGAAAAAUGGUUUGAAGGAAAUGAAUGAUGGUUAAUGUCCUAAUAUUGUGCAGAACAUACUUGAUUCCUAAAACCGGAUAUAUGGGUUAGUGUUAUAAAGCAACAAAUUAAAACUCCAAAUAUACAUAUCUGACGAAUAAAAAUAAAUUAACAAUUGUUCCAGAUCUUAAAAUGAAUCCCAACAAACCAGGCUGAAAUUAGACAAGUGUCAUUCCAAUGAUAAAUCUCUUUAUAGUUUGAUUUAUUGUUUCUGUCAAGUAGGAAGUGUCAUCACGCAGUUGCAACAGGUGCAUGACUUCUAUCUCCUGAGCUUGGAGUGGCAUCUGAUUUGUCAGUCUUGGCCUCAGCUUGCUCCUCCUUUGCCGGCUCUUGGGUCUCCUUAACAGCCUCAACUUUGUCAUUGGAUUCGUUAGCAGGGGCUUCAACUUUGUCCUCUGUUGUUGUCUUGGUAGCCUCUUCAGCUGCCUCCACCAAAACUGGCGUGGCUUCAACGGUCUUCGGUUCAGAGGACAGGUUUCCAUUCUCCUCCUUGGAGAUGUCCAUCAAGGGUGCUUCACUCUGACUCUCGACUCCAUUGUCGGUCCCCUGCAGUCACAUAUCAGCAAAACAAAACAAAAGGAAACAGCAUCAUAAAUAAUCAAGUACUUCUGCAAUGAAUCUCAAGAUGGUCUGGAGGGAUCAGAAUGCAUGCAAUGCAUACUUGAGCAGAAGUCUCCCCGUCAUCCUUCUUGGGAGCGGUGCAACCAUCAGUGUGGAUAUCCUCGGCAAGGAUGUCAGACUCCUUGGGCUUGGUCGCACAGCCUCCCAUUUUAUUGAAUUUUGUGGGAAGGAUGGGCGUGUUGGGGUGUUGGUUGCUGAAA
Carya illinoinensis is the source of this 3718-nucleotide RNA transcript. It is a transcript of the gene named UNC93-like protein 1, with no coding region annotated. The transcript is spliced from 3 exons. NCBI's taxonomy places the organism in Eukaryota, Viridiplantae, Streptophyta, Magnoliopsida, Fagales, Juglandaceae. The record is from RefSeq and is a predicted model, not a curated record.